RNAcentral lists this non-coding RNA (69 nucleotides) under unclassified sequences. RNAcentral describes it as "potC RNA". It matches the Rfam family "potC RNA". The record is from RNAcentral.
CUAGACAUGCCCACGUCACCCUUCCUAGGAUAUUUACCCUUUCCUAGAAAUUGUCGUGGGCAUUAAAAA